This 164-nucleotide ribosomal RNA is filed under the name uncultured bacterium. RNAcentral describes it as "partial 16S ribosomal RNA". It matches the Rfam family "Bacterial small subunit ribosomal RNA", at positions 355 to 511 of the family's 1533-position model. The record is from RNAcentral.
UAGGGAAUCUUCCACAAUGGGCGAAAGCCUGAUGGAGCAACGCCGCGUGUGUGAUGAAGGGUUUCGGCUCGUAAAACACUGUUGUAAGAGAAGAAUGACAUUGAGAGUAACUGUUCAAUGUGUGACGGCAUCUUACCAGAAAGGAACGGCUAAAUACGUGCCCG